UCUAGUGUAGUCAAACUAAUGACGCAGGAUUUAAGCUCUUGAGGUAUAUUAAUUUCUAGAA
This 61-nucleotide transfer RNA is filed under the name Proasellus grafi. RNAcentral describes it as "transfert RNA-L2(TTA)". The record is from RNAcentral. Lineage: Eukaryota; Metazoa; Arthropoda; Malacostraca; Isopoda; Asellidae.